ACUAAGCGUACACGGUGGAUGCCCUGGCAGUCAGAGGCGAUGAAGGACGUGCUAAUCUGCGAUAAGCGUCGGUAAGGUGAUAUGAACCGUUAUAACCGGCGAUUUCCGAAUGGGGAAACCCAGUGUGUUUCGACACACUAUCAUUAACUGAAUCCAUAGGUUAAUGAGGCGAACCGGGGGAACUGAAACAUCUAAGUACCCCGAGGAAAAGAAAUCAACCGAGAUUCCCCAGUAGCGGCGAGCGAACGGGGAGCAGCCCAGAGCCUGAAUCAGUGUGUGUGUUAGUGGAAGCGUCUGGAAAGGCGCGCGAUACAGGGUGACAGCCCCGUACACAAAAAUGCACAUGCUGUGAGCUCGAUGAGUAGGGCGGGACACGUGGUAUCCUGUCUGAAUAUGGGGGGACCAUCCUCCAAGGCUAAAUACUCCUGACUGACCGAUAGUGAACCAGUACCGUGAGGGAAAGGCGAAAAGAACCCCGGCGAGGGGAGUGAAAAAGAACCUGAAACCGUGUACGUACAAGCAGUGGGAGCCUCUUUAUGGGGUGACUGCGUACCUUUUGUAUAAUGGGUCAGCGACUUAUAUUCUGUAGCAAGGUUAACCGAAUAGGGGAGCCGAAGGGAAACCGAGUCUUAACUGGGCGUUAAGUUGCAGGGUAUAGACCCGAAACCCGGUGAUCUAGCCAUGGGCAGGUUGAAGGUUGGGUAACACUAACUGGAGGACCGAACCGACUAAUGUUGAAAAAUUAGCGGAUGACUUGUGGCUGGGGGUGAAAGGCCAAUCAAACCGGGAGAUAGCUGGUUCUCCCCGAAAGCUAUUUAGGUAGCGCCUCGUGAAUUCAUCUCCGGGGGUAGAGCACUGUUUCGGCAAGGGGGUCAUCCCGACUUACCAACCCGAUGCAAACUGCGAAUACCGGAGAAUGUUAUCACGGGAGACACACGGCGGGUGCUAACGUCCGUCGUGAAGAGGGAAACAACCCAGACCGCCAGCUAAGGUCCCAAAGUCAUGGUUAAGUGGGAAACGAUGUGGGAAGGCCCAGACAGCCAGGAUGUUGGCUUAGAAGCAGCCAUCAUUUAAAGAAAGCGUAAUAGCUCACUGGUCGAGUCGGCCUGCGCGGAAGAUGUAACGGGGCUAAACCAUGCACCGAAGCUGCGGCAGCGACGCUUAUGCGUUGUUGGGUAGGGGAGCGUUCUGUAAGCCUGUGAAGGUGUGCUGUGAGGCAUGCUGGAGGUAUCAGAAGUGCGAAUGCUGACAUAAGUAACGAUAAAGCGGGUGAAAAGCCCGCUCGCCGGAAGACCAAGGGUUCCUGUCCAACGUUAAUCGGGGCAGGGUGAGUCGACCCCUAAGGCGAGGCCGAAAGGCGUAGUCGAUGGGAAACAGGUUAAUAUUCCUGUACUUGGUGUUACUGCGAAGGGGGGACGGAGAAGGCUAUGUUGGCCGGGCGACGGUUGUCCCGGUUUAAGCGUGUAGGCUGAUUUUCCAGGCAAAUCCGGAAAAUCAAGGCUGAGGCGUGAUGACGAGGCACUACGGUGCUGAAGCAACAAAUGCCCUGCUUCCAGGAAAAGCCUCUAAGCAUCAGGUAACAUCAAAUCGUACCCCAAACCGACACAGGUGGUCAGGUAGAGAAUACCAAGGCGCUUGAGAGAACUCGGGUGAAGGAACUAGGCAAAAUGGUGCCGUAACUUCGGGAGAAGGCACGCUGAUAUGUAGGUGAAGUCCCUCGCGGAUGGAGCUGAAAUCAGUCGAAGAUACCAGCUGGCUGCAACUGUUUAUUAAAAACACAGCACUGUGCAAACACGAAAGUGGACGUAUACGGUGUGACGCCUGCCCGGUGCCGGAAGGUUAAUUGAUGGGGUCAGCGCAAGCGAAGCUCUUGAUCGAAGCCCCGGUAAACGGCGGCCGUAACUAUAACGGUCCUAAGGUAGCGAAAUUCCUUGUCGGGUAAGUUCCGACCUGCACGAAUGGCGUAAUGAUGGCCAGGCUGUCUCCACCCGAGACUCAGUGAAAUUGAACUCGCUGUGAAGAUGCAGUGUACCCGCGGCAAGACGGAAAGACCCCGUGAACCUUUACUAUAGCUUGACACUGAACAUUGAGCCUUGAUGUGUAGGAUAGGUGGGAGGCUUAGAAGUGUGGACGCCAGUCUGCAUGGAGCCGGCCUUGAAAUACCACCCUUUAAUGUUUGAUGUUCUAACGUGGACCCGUAAUCCGGGUUGCGGACAGUGUCUGGUGGGUAGUUUGACUGGGGCGGUCUCCUCCUAAAGAGUAACGGAGGAGCACGAAGGUUGGCUAAUCCUGGUCGGACAUCAGGAGGUUAGUGCAAUGGCAUAAGCCAGCUUGACUGCGAGCGUGACGGCGCGAGCAGGUGCGAAAGCAGGUCAUAGUGAUCCGGUGGUUCUGAAUGGAAGGGCCAUCGCUCAACGGAUAAAAGGUACUCCGGGGAUAACAGGCUGAUACCGCCCAAGAGUUCAUAUCGACGGCGGUGUUUGGCACCUCGAUGUCGGCUCAUCACAUCCUGGGGCUGAAGUAGGUCCCAAGGGUAUGGCUGUUCGCCAUUUAAAGUGGUACGCGAGCUGGGUUUAGAACGUCGUGAGACAGUUCGGUCCCUAUCUGCCGUGGGCGCUGGAGAACUGAGGGGGGCUGCUCCUAGUACGAGAGGACCGGAGUGGACGCAUCACUGGUGUUCGGGUUGUCAUGCCAAUGGCACUGCCCGGUAGCUAAAUGCGGAAGAGAUAAGUGCUGAAAGCAUCUAAGCACGAAACUUGCCCCGAGAUGAGUUCUCCCUGACUCCUUGAGAGUCCUGAAGGAACGUUGAAGACGACGACGUUGAUAGGCCGGGUGUGUAAGCGCAGCGAUGCGUUGAGCUAACCGGUACUAAUGAACCGUGAGGCUUAACC
This 2891-nucleotide ribosomal RNA is filed under the name Shigella dysenteriae. Its description in RNAcentral is "bacterial LSU rRNA". It matches the Rfam family "Bacterial large subunit ribosomal RNA". Lineage: Bacteria; Pseudomonadati; Pseudomonadota; Gammaproteobacteria; Enterobacterales; Enterobacteriaceae. The record is from RNAcentral.